This 264-nucleotide unclassified non-coding RNA is filed under the name Hevea brasiliensis (rubber tree). The record is from RNAcentral. Lineage: Eukaryota; Viridiplantae; Streptophyta; Magnoliopsida; Malpighiales; Euphorbiaceae.
GUCAGAUUCAAUGAUUUCCUGUAGCUGUUAAUGCCUUCAAGAAGUGUAUCCUCCUCAUCACAUUUGACUGGAUGAUUGAUAAAAAGAAUGAAGCAGAGAAAGAAUAGGAGGAGAAGACAGAGUCUUGAAGAAGCCAUUGUUGUCAUAAUUGUUCUGCUGUUGCCGCAGAAUCCAGAUGCGAGAGAGAGUCGGUGAUGGGUCUUAAAGAGAAAGUAGGAGGAUUGUUGCUUUCUUUAGUUCGGUGUUAGUGUUACUGUUCAUCCG